GGUUGUUAGGCUUCUUUCUUUUCUUUUUUUUUUGUUAAGAGAGACACAGUCCUCCUGUGUCUUCUCCAAGCUUCACAUGUACAAUCCAACAGUGUGAAGCACAUAGCAGCCAGAAACUGUAAUGCCACAGAUCAGAGAGGCUUCAUCAUCCCCAUCUUCGCCGUACGAUCAGAGCGUGAGACUUCACAUCUGGAAGUCCUCCUUCUAGCUUGUCCCACAAGCAGUCGGUGAGAUUUACUCACAACAAAAAGGGUUAAUGACAUUAUUUCCAUGAAAACGUAUUAAUUCUUUGUAAAGUGUUUAAAUUUUGUUUUCACUUGACCUUAGGAGUGUUAUUUUGAGUGUAUUUUAAUAUCUGUACUCAGGUGUUUCCCUCUGUGAUCCAUCCCCUUCAGAGCUGAGACACUCAGGACUGAACAGACUGCACAGUUACUGUGACUGAGCCUCCAAAACAUCUUCUUUGAAACCACACAUGAUAGAAGGGCUUUAUAUUUGCAGCAGCACUACUAAAGUUGGCAGGAAUGUUGCUGCAGGAAAACAUCCCUGGAGAUCACCAUCAUUGUCAGACUGACUGUGCCUCCUCUGUGCAGUGUCAAGAUCCUCCUUAAAUGAGUGUUCCUCAGCUAUCCUGCUUCUGUACUGGUUGCCACACAUCAAACAUUGGCCGGAUGACAGGGAGGAUCCACUCUAAUGUCACUGGACAUGAUGAGGAUCAUAUGGGACUUUAUGGUUUCACAAAGAUGUUGUGCUCUUUGAUUAUAGGUCUUGCAUAAUGACUUCCUCUCUGAUCAACAGGCUAAAGGAUCAUUUUCAUUGUUAGGGCUCUGUAAAAUGAAUGCUUAUUCAAUAG
Oreochromis aureus is the source of this 850-nucleotide long non-coding RNA. RefSeq lists it as uncharacterized. NCBI's taxonomy places the organism in Eukaryota, Metazoa, Chordata, Actinopteri, Cichliformes, Cichlidae. The record is from RefSeq and is a predicted model, not a curated record. The transcript is spliced from 3 exons.